RNAcentral lists this ribosomal RNA (441 nucleotides) under uncultured bacterium. RNAcentral describes it as "partial 16S ribosomal RNA". It matches the Rfam family "Bacterial small subunit ribosomal RNA", at positions 338 to 795 of the family's 1533-position model. The record is from RNAcentral.
CCUACGGGAGGCAGCAGUAGGGAAUUUUGCGCAAUGGGCGAAAGCCUGACGCAGCAACGCCGCGUGAUUGAUUAAGUCCUUCGGGGUGUAAAGAUCUGUCCGUGGGGACGAAACUUGACGGUACCCACAGAGGAAGCACCGGCUAACUCCGUGCCAGCAGCCGCGGUACUACGGCGGGUGCAAGAGUUGUCCGGAAUCAUUGGGCGUAAUGAGUUCGUAGGUGGCAUAUUAAGUCUGGUGUUAAAUGCAGAAGCUCACAGUCUGUUCGGCACUGGAUCUUGGUAAGCUGGAAUGCGGUAGAGGUAAAGGGAAUUCCGGGUGUAGCGGUGAAAUGCGUAGAUAUCAGGAGGAACAUCGGUGGCGUAAGCGCUUUACUGGGCCGUAAUUGACGCUGAGGAACGAAAGCCGGGGUAGCAAAUGGGAUUAGAUACCCGAGUAGUC